Bradysia coprophila is the source of this 165-nucleotide small nuclear RNA. RefSeq annotates it as U1 spliceosomal RNA. Lineage: Eukaryota; Metazoa; Arthropoda; Insecta; Diptera; Sciaridae. The record is from RefSeq and is a predicted model, not a curated record.
AUACUUACCUGGCGUCGGGACUACGAUGAUCAAUAAGGUCGUUUCCCCUAGUCUAGGCCUUUGCAUUGCACUUUAGCUUGGGCUGAAACUGGCGAUUGCAGCUAAUGUUUGCAACUCGGUCGUAAAAUUUUUGUUAGCAGGGGUAAGCGUUCGCGCUACCCCUAA